Molecule: ribosomal RNA, 492 nt
Filed under: uncultured bacterium
Lineage: Bacteria
Description: partial 16S ribosomal RNA
Rfam family: Bacterial small subunit ribosomal RNA
Source: RNAcentral
AGUGAACGCUGGCGGUAGGCCUAACACAUGCAAGUCGAACGGCAGCACAGUAAGAGCUUGCUCUUACGGGUGGCGAGUGGCGGACGGGUGAGGAAUACAUCGGAAUCUACUUUUUCGUGGGGGAUAACGUAGGGAAACUUACGCUAAUACCGCAUACGACCUACGGGUGAAAGCAGGGGAUCUUCGGACCUUGCGCGAUUGAAUGAGCCGAUGUCGGAUUAGCUAGUUGGCGGGGUAAAGGCCCACCAAGGCGACGAUCCGUAGCUGGUCUGAGAGGAUGAUCAGCCACACUGGAACUGAGACACGGUCCAGACUCCUACGGGAGGCAGCAGUGGGGAAUAUUGGACAAUGGGCGCAAGCCUGAUCCAGCCAUACCGCGUGAGUGAAGAAGGCCUUCGAGUUGUAAAGACCUUUUGUUGGGAAAGAAAAGCAGCAGGUUAAUACCCCGCUGUUCUGACGGUACCCAAAGAAUAAGCACCGGCUAACUUCGUG